CAGCCUGGGCUGCAGAAAGAGCACAUGUGGGACAGAGCUGCCCAGCUGAUUUGCAGGCCAGCAGGGAGAAGCAGAGCCGACCAGCCAGCACAGCACUAAAGCCUAACUACACGAGGCCAACAUGCACACCCGCUGAGUUCUGGAAUGGUUUAUGACAUAGCAUUGCUGUGGCAACAAUAUGAAGCAAUAUGAACACCUGCCCUAAUAGGUUACAGGCUCAGCAGCUACCAUAGAGACCCAGCACAGCAGUGCUGGAAGGCCGGAACUACGCUGCAAGGCUCCCUUGCUACAGGGCGCUGCUGAGAAAGUGUACUCAUGGCAAAGUGAGGAGGUGAAAAGGAGAUGUGACACUGUGUCUUCUGAAGCUGGGUCAUGAAAAGGACAACUUCUGCCUGGCACUGGCUCUGUCUCUUAGAUCACUCACUGUGGAGGACACCAGCCAUCAUGCUGUGAGGACCUUCCAUCAAGUAGCGUGUGCACAGGCUCCGUGGGGAGGAACCGAGGCCUCUGACAACUCGCCAGUGUGAGAGUGAGUGAACCUCCCAGAGGUGGAUCCUCCAGCGCAAGUUCCACCUUCUUCAUGGACUCUCCCCAGGUCACCUAACCUUCCCUCCUCUGAACUGCUACCUUCCUUCUCCGUAUUAUUAUCGCUGUAAUCAUGCAUUGC
Microcebus murinus (gray mouse lemur) is the source of this 667-nucleotide non-coding RNA. NCBI's taxonomy places the organism in Eukaryota, Metazoa, Chordata, Mammalia, Primates, Cheirogaleidae. The record is from RefSeq and is a predicted model, not a curated record.